Molecule: ribosomal RNA, 253 nt
Filed under: uncultured bacterium
Lineage: Bacteria
Description: partial 16S ribosomal RNA
Rfam family: Bacterial small subunit ribosomal RNA
Source: RNAcentral
UACAGAGGGGGCAAGCGUUGCUCGGAAUUACUGGGCGUAAAGGGCGCGUAGGCGGGAUGGCAAGUCGGUCGUGAAAUCCCUCGGCUCAACUGAGGAUCGUCGAUCGAUACUGCCGUUCUUGAGGAUUGCAGAGGAGACUGGAAUUCCCGGUGUAGCGGUGAAAUGUGUAGAGAUCGGGAGGAACACCGGUGGCGAAGGCGGGUCUCUGGGCAAUUCCUGACGCUGAGGCGCGAAAGCGUGGGGAGCAAACGGG